This 79-nucleotide transfer RNA is filed under the name Bacillus pumilus ATCC 7061. RNAcentral's name for it is "tRNA-Pro". It matches the Rfam family "tRNA". Rfam says of the family: Transfer RNA (tRNA) molecules are approximately 80 nucleotides in length. Lineage: Bacteria; Bacillati; Bacillota; Bacilli; Caryophanales; Bacillaceae. The record is from RNAcentral.
UCGGGAAGUAGCUCAGCUUGGUAGAGCACUUGGUUUGGGACCAAGGGGUCGCAGGUUCGAAUCCUGUCUUCCCGACCAU